Molecule: long non-coding RNA, 2342 nt
Organism: Felis catus (domestic cat)
Lineage: Eukaryota; Metazoa; Chordata; Mammalia; Carnivora; Felidae
Exons: 5
Source: RefSeq, a predicted model, not a curated record
AGAAUAAAAAUCCCAAAUGAACUUUUUAAAACCAGUCACCCCCACUACUCAAAUUCAUCCAUCAAGCCUCCGAGAAUCUUCUCUGCGAGAGCCCCACACGACAUGCGGUACAAAAGCAGGAAGUGCCUAAGGUUAAAGGACCACACUAUAAAUAACAUCCACUGGCCUCACACAUUCAUACUAGCCUAUCUCUUGUUCCCAAACAUUCUCUCAAGUAAAGGAGUGUGAAAUAAGAGCUGGUUCAACAUUUUUUCCUCUGGGCUCAUAUGACUGUCAGUGUAUAAACAAUGAAAAUGCACAUUUUCAUUGGAUACUAAUGGAUACUUUUUUCGUCGUGAAGAAGGGGCGUGUUAUCACAGGACUAGAGAUAGAAGUUUCGCUGUAUUGCCUCUGUUGGUUUGUAAGGUUUUGUUGUUUGGGGAGAAGGAAACAAAGGAAGGACAAAUGCCGCUUGGAGAAGGGACGCUUAUGAAAGGGGAAAGAGCUCCAAGCAGAAAGCCGUUAGAGACGCUGUUCAUUUCUCCUUAAAGCCUUGAGUGAGUGGUCACCUCUCCAGCUCCGGGACCUUAGCAGCUGCAGGACUGGAACCCAGGCAGCCUGACUGCAGAGACCUUGUUCUUCCUGUAACCUCUAUACCCUCCUGGGCUCUGAUGAGUCACCUUGGAAUCUAUAGGAGCAGCCCAGUGAGCCACACUACUCCAAAGCGACUUAGUGUAUCCAAGCCGCCGCUGAGACGGGAGAGGCAGGGAGUGCACGUUCCCAGGCUCAGGAGUGAGAUGACACCAGAUCUACAGCUCUAGCCCUGACCUUGCUGAUGGGCCCCUAACGGUCCACGGAUGUCCACCUGGCACUGGCUUAUCAACAAGACAGACGAGCAUGGAUGCAAAGCUGACUAGCAAGCACUUCCUAAGCGACCUUGAGCGUAUGAGUCAGGGGAGUCCAGAUGAGGAGCAGAUGUUCCAGAGGGAGUGCGAUGUGGCAGAGAAUUUGCCGGUGCUUCCUGCAGCACAGCGACUCCCUUGUCUCCUUACCAAGAAACUUGAUUUUGUUCACCUUCCGGGACAAGGGGCAGAGAUCCAGGUAGGAACCGCAGCACCACACCCACCAAGGCAGGCCACUCCCUUUGCCCAUGAUUGGUCCAUUCACGAACAUGUGACCCAGCCCUGGCCAAUGAGAUAUAAAAGGAAGUGCCUGGAGGCCUAUGGGAAAAAUUUUCAAAGUCCAAAUACAAGCAGGUCCUUUUUCCACCGCUUCCUGCCCUGGAUGCUGUGAUGUCGGGACAUGACGCUUGGGGCUGCCACAGCCCUCCGGUGACCGUGAAGGCCUAGACAGCUGCAGAGGUGAAGGGCAACCCAGAGACUUGGUCUCAUUAAGUUGCUGCAAUAACCUAGUAUAGCCUCUGUCUAGACUUUAUUAUGUGAGCUGCUAAAAUAUCUUUCCUGCCACAGCUACUGCUGGUCAUGUAUUCAAUUGCUUGUGUCCUCAAGCAUCCAAAGAGAUCCAUCUCAGGAGGCUUCAGUUCUUGCCUUCUCCUCACAGUGUGUGCACUUCCGUGGGCCAAGUGCGAUUCCAGUGUGUAAAGACAGGUACUUGCUACAUAACAUGGUGUCUAAAGUCAAGGCAGCUGCUUCACCUGGGUUGCAGCUGGAGAGAGACUGAAUCUGAGUUGGAAGACCUCCCACUCUGUGGGUCCUGGGAAGGAUGGUAUGUUGAACUCCAAUGUGGGGCUCUCCUGGGAAUCUUCCAGGAACUGUUAUGAACAAACAUGAUUUUUGGUUGACACUGUGACUUCAGAACCUAACCUCAGGGGCAGCUGCCUCCUGAGCCUCUUAACAGACCCCCCUCAGCUGCAUUCGCUGUCCCCACAGGCACCGACUGCAGGGACCUUUGUGAGGGUAGCUUUGUAUCUCAGGGGACUUUCACACCCUCAGUGGCUCCUUGCUCCUCUCCAUAGAUGGGGACCGCUGUGCCUUGCCUGCUUCAGUGCUGGCUGCUUGCCUACCUGUGCCUGUGGUCCAGCACGGCCUGGUGACGUGAAGAAGCCUGAACACACCCACGCUGCCAUCUUUAAGUUUUGUUCCUGCUGGUCUCUACCUAGAGUGCCCCCUCUACCCAUUCCUACCUAUUAAACUUUGUUUCCCCAGCACUCAGCACACGUUAGGCCAACCAAAGAAGGUCUCCUUAACUCAGUAAUGACGAAAACAAGUAACUCCAUUAAAAAACAGGCAAAGGACUUGAAUAGACAUUUGUCCAAAGAAGAUAUACAAGCGACCAAUAAGCACAUGAAAAGAUGCUCAACAUCACUAAUCACUAGGGAAAUGCAAAUUAAAACUACCAUGAGA